Molecule: ribosomal RNA, 270 nt
Filed under: uncultured bacterium
Lineage: Bacteria
Description: partial 16S ribosomal RNA
Rfam family: Bacterial small subunit ribosomal RNA
Source: RNAcentral
AUUGAACGCUGGCGGCAUGCCUUACACAUGCAAGUCGAACGACGCUAGGGGCAACUCUAGCGAGUGGCGAACGGGUGAGUAAUACAUCGGAACGUGUCCUGUCGUGGGGGAUAACCAGUCGAAAGACUGGCUAAUACCGCAUGACCUCGUAAGAGAAAAGCGGGGGACCGCAAGGCCUCGCGCGAUUGGAGCGGCCGAUGUCGGAUUAGCUAGUUGGCGGGGUAAUGGCCCACCAAGGCGACGAUCCGUAGCUGGUUUGAGAGAACGACC